UUAAGUUCAGCGGGUAGUCCUACCUGAUUUGAGGUCAAAAUGUCAAAAUUUGUCCAAGUUAAUAGACGGUUAGAAGCUGAGCCUCAUUAUAAAGCUUCACAACCAAUGGCGUAGAUAAUUAUCACACCAAUAGCUGCUCCACAAAGGUUCUGCUAAUGAAUUUAAGGAGAGCUGAUUUCUUGCGAAACCCGCAACCCCCA
RNAcentral lists this unclassified non-coding RNA (200 nucleotides) under Ripartites sp. Its description in RNAcentral is "partial internal transcribed spacer 2". Lineage: Eukaryota; Fungi; Basidiomycota; Agaricomycetes; Agaricales; Paralepistaceae. The record is from RNAcentral.